AAAAAGAAAACUUCAUUCUCUCUCAACUCCUUUCCUCAGUCCGGCCUCGGCUCCAACGCGCCUUCGUCGUAGAGCCACCGAGAACGGGGGCCGGAGGAGCAAAAUCAAGCCUUUCCGGUUCCUCUUUGAAGCCCGUAGCCUCUAGAACACGGAUUCAAAGCUGAAUCCCGUGAAAGGUGGCUGUGAGCCAUAGAAACGGAGGGAAACCGUUCGGUUUCUCCUCCUCCGGCGUGGCGCAGGUAAGGAUUCUCCGUUCCCUUACUCUUAUUUUUUAUUUAGAAGCGCAAACAAGAUUAAAAUGAAACAAACUAACAGAUCUAAAAAAAGGCAAUAGUCACCUUAAGAUUUUUUUGAAUCCUUUUAAGAGUCUCUUUUUUUUAUUUUCUGAUAUUCAUAAAAAAGUGGUCCCUCCUUUACAGAUCUGUGCUUGGCUUUUAUAUAGCCAAAGAGAAAAUAAAGAAACAUCAAAAGAGCUAUUGUCCAUAUUGCUUCCUUCUAUUUUCUGUCUCUUUUUUCCUUUUCAUAUUUACAGGCAUUGACGGAGACGUAUCAGUGAACAGAUGGAGCAGAGGGCAGGUAUGGCAGUAACGUACGGCGCACAUGGGAGCAGCAAGGGAUGCGGCGCCCUAGGGUUGGGGAUUAAGGUUUUCUGCUGAAAUGUUUAGGUGAUUGGGCCAUUGGGCUUGCUGUUUUUGGGUUUAAUUUAGUUUGUUGGGCUGGGGCAAAUUUGGGC
Molecule: long non-coding RNA, 733 nt
Filed under: Gossypium barbadense (sea-island cotton)
Lineage: Eukaryota; Viridiplantae; Streptophyta; Magnoliopsida; Malvales; Malvaceae
Description: long non-coding RNA (GBAR_LNC014681)
Source: RNAcentral